UACGAAGGGGGCUAGCGUUGUUCGGAUUAACUGGGCGUAAAGGGCGCGUAGGCGGAUUUUUAAGUCAGGGGUGAAAUCCCAUGGCUCAACCUUGGAACGGCCUUUGAUACUGGAGAUCUUGAGUCCGGGAGAGGUGAGUGGAACUGCGAGUGUAGAGGUGAAAUUCGUAGAUAUUCGCAAGAACACCAGUGGCGAAGGCGGCUCACUGGCCCGGUACUGACGCUGAGGCGCGAAAGCGUGGGGAG
RNAcentral lists this ribosomal RNA (245 nucleotides) under uncultured Methylocapsa sp. RNAcentral describes it as "partial 16S ribosomal RNA". It matches the Rfam family "Bacterial small subunit ribosomal RNA", at positions 524 to 768 of the family's 1533-position model. Lineage: Bacteria; Pseudomonadati; Pseudomonadota; Alphaproteobacteria; Hyphomicrobiales; Beijerinckiaceae. The record is from RNAcentral.